Non-coding RNA from Araneus ventricosus, 72 nucleotides. The record is from the annotation of a GenBank genome assembly. NCBI's taxonomy places the organism in Eukaryota, Metazoa, Arthropoda, Arachnida, Araneae, Araneidae.
UUUUCACACCGGGAAUAGAACCCGGGCCUCCUAAGUGAGAGCCAUGUAUCCUAACCUCUAGACAUAGUAAAA